UUUGGAAUAUGCAUUAAUAAAUA
RNAcentral lists this non-coding RNA (23 nucleotides) under Arabidopsis thaliana (thale cress). The record is from RNAcentral. Lineage: Eukaryota; Viridiplantae; Streptophyta; Magnoliopsida; Brassicales; Brassicaceae.